UUGCUUAAAGGGGCCGUAGCUUGAUAUGCAAGUCCCUUGAGAAAUCCGCCAGCUUAACUGGGGGGCGUUCAGGGGAAACUGCGUUUCUAGGGACCGGGAGAGGUGAGAGGUACUGCCGGGGUAGGAGUGAAAUCCUGUAAUCCCGGUGGGACCACCUAUGGCGAAGGCAUCUCACCAGAACGGGUCCGACAGUGAGGGACGAAAGCUGGGGGAGCAAACCGGAUUAGAUACCCGGGUAGUCCCAGCUGUAAACGAUGCGCGUUAGGUGUGUCAGUGACCACGUGUCACUGAGGUGCCGAAGGGAAACCGUGAAACGCGCCGCCUGGGGAGUACGGUCGCAAGGCUGAAACUUAAAGGAGUUGGCGGGGGAGCACCACAACGGGUGGAGCCUGCGGUUUAAUCGGAAUCAACGCCGGAAAUCUCACCGGAUAAGACAGCUGAAUGAUAGUCGGGAUGAAGACUCUACUUGACUAGCUGAGAGGAGGUGCAUGGCCGUCGUCAGUUCGUACUGUGAAGCAUCCUGUUUAGUCAGGCAACGAGCGAGACCCACGCCAACAGUUGCCAGCUUGACCUUCGGGUUGAUGGGGACACUGUUGGGACCGCCUCUGCUAAAGGAGAGGAAGGAAUGGGCAACGGUAGGUCCGCAUGCCCCGAAA
This 656-nucleotide ribosomal RNA is filed under the name uncultured Methanomicrobiales archaeon. Its description in RNAcentral is "bacterial SSU rRNA". It matches the Rfam family "Archaeal small subunit ribosomal RNA", at positions 506 to 1161 of the family's 1478-position model. The record is from RNAcentral. Lineage: Archaea; Methanobacteriati; Methanobacteriota; Methanomicrobia; Methanomicrobiales.